GGAUGAACGCUAGCGGGAGGCUUAACACAUGCAAGUCGAGGGGCAGCACAGAUAGCAAUAUUAGGUGGCGACCGGCGGACGGGUGAGUAACGCGUAUGCAACCUACCCUGUACAGGGGGAUAGCCCGGAGAAAUUCGGAUUAAUACCCCAUGGUUCAGUGAAUCUGCAUGGAUUUACUGAUAAAUCUUCGGAGGUACGGGAUGGGCAUGCGUUCCAUUAGCUAGUUGGUAGGGUAACGGCCUACCAAGGCAACGAUGGAUACGGGGUCUUAAAGGAUGGACCCGCACACUGGCACUGAGACACGGGCCAGACUCCUACGGGAGGCAGCAGUGAGGAAUAUUGGUCAAUGGGGGGAACCCUGAACCAGCCAUCCCGCGUGCAGGAAGACAGUUCUAUGGAUUGUAAACUGCUUUUACUGGGGAAGAAUAAUGUUGACGAGUCGACAGAUGACGGUACCCAGUGAAUAAGCAUCGGCUAACUCCGUGCCAGCAGCCGCGGUAAUACGGAGGAUGCAAGCGUUAUCCGGAUUUAUUAGGUUUAAAGGGUGUGUAGGCUGAUGUAUAAGUCAGUGGUGAAAGUCUGUAGCUCAACUAUAGAAUUGCCAUUGAUACUGUAUGUCUUGAGUGUGGUUGAGGUAUGCGGAAUGUGUAGUGUAGCGGUGAAAUGCAUAGAUAUUACACAGAACACCGAUUGCGAAGGCAGCAUGCUAAGCCACAACUGACGCUGAUGCACGAAAGCGUGGGGAUCAAACAGGAUNAGAUACCCUGGUAGUCCACGCUGUAAACUAUGAUUACUCGCUGUUGGCGAUAUAAAGUCAGUGGCUAAGCGAAAGCAAUAAGUAAUCCACCUGGGGAGUACGAUCGCAAGAUUGAAACUCAAAGGAAUUGACGGGGGCCCGCACAAGCGGAGGAACAUGUGGUUUAAUUCGAUGAUACGCGAGGAACCUUACCUGGGCUUAAAUGUAUGUUGCAUGGAGUGGAAACAUUCCUUUCCUUCGGGACUACGUACAAGGUGCUGCAUGGUUGUCGUCAGCUCGUGCCGUGAGGUGUCGGGUUAAGUCCCAUAACGAGCGCAACCCCUGUUGUCAGUUGCCAGCAUGUAAUGGUGGGGACUCUGACAAGACUGCCGGUGUAAACCGUGAGGAAGGUGGGGAUGACGUCAAAUCAGCACGGCCCUUAUGUCCAGGGCCACACACGUGUUACAAUGGUCGGUACAACGGGCAGCCACCUGGCGACAGGGCGCUAAUCCCGAAAGCCGAUCGUAGUUCGGAUCGGAGUCUGCAACUCGACUCCGUGAAGCUGGAUUCGCUAGUAAUCGCGCAUCAGCCAUGGCGCGGUGAAUACGUUCCCGGACCU
Molecule: ribosomal RNA, 1355 nt
Filed under: uncultured bacterium
Lineage: Bacteria
Description: bacterial SSU rRNA
Rfam family: Bacterial small subunit ribosomal RNA
Source: RNAcentral